UUCCUGUCUUGUGUGGACUUUAGUUAUUUCCUGUUCUGUGCCAUGUUUUGUAGUCCUUUGUAGUUUUUCUUGUUUAUGAGUCUCUCCAGGUGUUUCUAAUUAGCCCCGCCCCCUUGUUAUCUUGUUUAGCUUGUUUGUCUUGUUGCUUGUAGCUGUCUCCAUGUUCCUGUCUUGAGUUUCGUGUUCCUUUGUUUGCCCUGGAUGACCUGUUUAAUUUAUUAAAAUAGUGCUUGCAUUUGGA
Rhinichthys klamathensis goyatoka is the source of this 241-nucleotide long non-coding RNA. RefSeq lists it as uncharacterized. Lineage: Eukaryota; Metazoa; Chordata; Actinopteri; Cypriniformes; Leuciscidae. The record is from RefSeq and is a predicted model, not a curated record. The transcript is spliced from 2 exons.